This 548-nucleotide long non-coding RNA is filed under the name Ursus maritimus (polar bear). RNAcentral describes it as "lncRNA (ENSUMAG00000009411.1)". Lineage: Eukaryota; Metazoa; Chordata; Mammalia; Carnivora; Ursidae. The record is from RNAcentral.
AUGUCGGUGCAGCCAUUUUGUCAGCCUGGACUUGGGGCUUCGGGUUGCCGGUUUUGCUGCCAGCCAGGGGGUCCAGCAAACAGACCACUAUUGGCGCUCGAGAACCACCCCUUUUCUGCAUUGAAUGAGAAGCCACCUAAAGUAGUGACUCACGGGCCUUCCGACAGCCUUGACCACACUCAUUUUCCAGUUGUUUCUGAGGUCAGAGAUGCCAGCCCUUCCCAGGUCCCAGUCGAAUGUUUCAGUUAUUUGGACCUCUUCUCUCAAGCAAGGACGAUCUUCCAGAAGCACAGAUUCGUACCCAAGUGUUCCUACGGCUCCAUCUGGGCUUGCCCAUCUGUCUGACCUCGCUGACCUUACUGGGUUUGCUAUCCACUAACCCCCAGAUCUUUGAGUUCCAGCCACAGUGGCCUUUGGUUCCUUCCUCAAGCACUUCGGGGUCGGGGAGGGGGGCCGUGGAAUCAGCCUCAUACACACCUGACACCACCCAUCAAUCAUUUUUAUUGCUUUAAAAGUUUACAUGCAAUAAACUCUGCUUUUGUCGUACA